UUUUUUCUAGUCAUUGUUAAGGUACUGGAAUCUAGGAUUGAGUGGACAGUCUAUGAGGGGAGCCUCUGCCUAUCCAUCAAGCAUGUCGACGGAUGUGAACUCAGGUUUUGCUAAAGAUAGAUCUUCCUGUGAUUUUAUGUGAUGAAGAAAUCAAGAAACCCAGAUGUGAAAUGGCUGCAAAGGCUUCAGUUCUUGAUUGCUGGAGGCUACGUUGCUAACCCAUUUAAUGAGUGCUUCUUGUCUCCUAUAGGUUAAGCUUUUGAACUCACAUUAAUUUCUUCUGUUUUUACAUUUCAUUAAAUGAGGCAUAUAUUUACUUUUCCCAGAUCAGAGAUUGCACCAAUAUAUUAAGGUAGGUAUUGUAUUCACAUGAUAAGUUUCAAUGUUGUGCUUUUCUAACGGCGUACCCCAGUAGUGUAGCUAUUAGUCGAUUCAACGAUCUAUUUCUAUAUAUUAUUCCCAAGAAAAAUGGAGAUGUAUAUAUGUGUGUGUAUUAUUCCUGGAGGGAAUUAAAUUUUGUACCCUAGGG
Molecule: long non-coding RNA, 529 nt
Filed under: Ricinus communis (castor bean)
Lineage: Eukaryota; Viridiplantae; Streptophyta; Magnoliopsida; Malpighiales; Euphorbiaceae
Description: long non-coding RNA (RCOM_LNC000683)
Source: RNAcentral